AAGAAUUUCUGUAGGCUACUAACUGACUUGCCAACCCAUCUACAUUAAUUAAUCAUAAUGAUAACAGGAGAUAAGACAAAGGAAAAUCAACACCCGAAUUUCUAAAUCUGAAGAAGUGAUAAAGAAGAUGACAGAUGAUAAUGAGAGGGGACCACAAUGCUGCUUGGUUCUAAGUAUAAAGCCAUCUCUGUUAAACACACAAACAAACAAACCCACUCUGAAAUCACAAGGAAGGGACUGCUUAGCAAGUGGAGAAGAUGAUUGCAGUAGUAAGAGACUGGGGGAAUCCAGAACUUCCACCCACUAAAGAGUAUUUGAAUGUUUAUCAUAUCAUCAGUGUCGCCUAGGCGGUUGCCUACAGUUAUCUAGAGACCUACAUCACAUUUUAUUUUAAUAAAGUAAAUCAAAG
Molecule: long non-coding RNA, 409 nt
Filed under: Vulpes vulpes (red fox)
Lineage: Eukaryota; Metazoa; Chordata; Mammalia; Carnivora; Canidae
Description: lncRNA (ENSVVUG00000008825.1)
Source: RNAcentral